This 251-nucleotide long non-coding RNA is filed under the name Lathyrus oleraceus (garden pea). Its description in RNAcentral is "Pisum sativum (pea) long non-coding RNA (PSAT_LNC018095)". The record is from RNAcentral. Lineage: Eukaryota; Viridiplantae; Streptophyta; Magnoliopsida; Fabales; Fabaceae.
CCGGUUAACCCAGGGCGUUAACCGGUUAACACUGUUGCGUUUUGCCAGAAAAUGUAUUUUUGUCCUGCGUUAACCGGUUAACCCAGGGCGUUAACCGGUUAACACUGUUGGAAAUUGGAAAAUUUGAUAUUUUAAUGUUGUGAACAUAAUUGGUGAUUGGCAUAUUCUCGUUGAUUUCGAUGAGUAAUUUUGUUGAGUUUAUGUUAUGAAGUGGUGAUAUAAAUAUGUUGAUAAGUUGUGUUAAGUUGUUG